CCUCUACUUCUACCCCAGAGGUCCAGAACCUCUAGCUUUGUAUUUCUCCUUUGUGGUGAUAUAUAUAUAUAUUUUUGUUCUCUUGUACUUGAAACUUAUUUGAUCAAUGAAGCUGGAUUCAUCUUUACAGAGGGUCCCUCCCCCCUUUUCGUAUUCUUUUCCUUCUUUUUGUCUUCUUGCAUUGAUUUGAGUCAUGGCGC
This 200-nucleotide long non-coding RNA is filed under the name Elaeis guineensis (African oil palm). Its description in RNAcentral is "long non-coding RNA (EGUI_LNC072396)". Lineage: Eukaryota; Viridiplantae; Streptophyta; Magnoliopsida; Arecales; Arecaceae. The record is from RNAcentral.